CUUCAGGAGUGCGUCCCUGUCCCUGCUGGGGAGCGAUUACAGGAGUGGCCAGGAGUAGGGCUGGGUGGACAGAGUUGAGUUCCAACCUGUCAACUGGCACAGUGCACUACAUGGACAGGCCACUGGAGUAGCGGAGGACAUCCAGAGGAUCACUCUCCCCAGUAUCAGUCGUCUGAGACCAUUCACCUUUGACACUCUCUUCUACAACAGUCCCACCUACUGCCAGACCACAGUGGACACUGGGGCCUCAGAGGUUAACAAGCUCCACUUACUGUUCAAACACAGACACCCAGAGUUUACUGGAGCAGUGUCUGUGGUUGGACGCCUCAUGGAUUCACCUACAGGUUUGCUGAUCCUGUUUGUCUUGCUGACCAAUCAGAAGACCGGAUCAGGAGAGGCAGACAGAGAUGAGGGGUGUAACCGUGACCACUUCCCUCUGACCUGUGAUGCAUUGGCAUAUGUAAAUACCUAAGUUGAUUUAUAAUUUUAUAUAGGAAUUAUGUAUGUGAAGAUAUAAAAGGAGAGAGUACUAUUCCCGAAUAUGCUGUAUAAAUAGAACACUAGUGUAAAGGAGAUAUAAUAGGUUACAAGAGAUUUAAUGAAGUAACUUGCACAUCCACACGUAGUGGUGUAAAAAGUAUUCUGAGAAAUGUUCAGAGUGGUCCCUUUGUGGAUUAUUUGAUAAAGAUAAGGUUAAAGCAUUGUAUGACUGUCUAAAGGGUCUGGGGGAAAAAGUAUCCAACAAAGAUUGGCGAAUAUCCACUUUUGGUAAAGUUACGGGACUUGACUAAUCCCUAACCAAUAAAACUACAAAUGCUUA
This is a long non-coding RNA of Salvelinus sp. IW2-2015, 820 nucleotides long. RefSeq lists it as uncharacterized. The record is from RefSeq and is a predicted model, not a curated record. Lineage: Eukaryota; Metazoa; Chordata; Actinopteri; Salmoniformes; Salmonidae.